This is an RNA transcript of Ictalurus furcatus (blue catfish), 7351 nucleotides long. It is a transcript of the gene named leucine-rich repeat transmembrane neuronal protein 4-like, with no coding region annotated. The record is from RefSeq and is a predicted model, not a curated record. NCBI's taxonomy places the organism in Eukaryota, Metazoa, Chordata, Actinopteri, Siluriformes, Ictaluridae. The transcript has 3 exons.
GUCCUUAUAAAUCCUGUUAGUCCUUAUAAUACUGUUUUGUGCAUCUAAUUAGCUAUCAAAUGUCCUCAUAAUUGAGUAAGUCCUCAUAAGUUGUGUUGUGUGUAAACAAACUCUGAAGUGAAAUCUGUGCUGUGUGGCUCAAAAUAGAUUUUUUUUUUUUGAUAUACACACAUCUCUUGUAGAGCAAGUGGAAAGGGGAGUCCCCCUAAUGCAGCAAAAAAACCGGUUUAGGGUGCAGUGUCCUUGUAGUGCACAAAAACCCGUGCGUGUGUGUGUGUGUAUGUGUGUGUGUAUGUGUGUGUGUGUGUGCAUGUAUGUGUGUUCUGCGCUUCGCUCGGAUGGAGGAGAAGAAGAAGUGUGUGAACGCGCGUUUUCUCUCCGUCGAUGGGGAUCUGGGUUUUUCUGAUGCUCGCGGCGCGCGCAGAAGCGUUCGGGAUUAAUAAUAAUAAUAAUAAUAAUAAUAAUAAUAAUAAUAAUAAUAAUAAUAAUAGUCGUGUGUUCGGUUAGUAGACUGUUUAUCCGCAAAACAACUUUUUGUUUCCGUUCCGCUGUCUGUCGUUUUCGUGCUGCGUUCAUAUCCGCCGUGUUACUUUCGCGCGCGCACUAUGCUGCUCGGCGCUCCGGCGCUCACGUGGCUUCUUUCCGGCGCAUUCGGACCCAACCGGAGGAGGCGCGCGGCCGCUCGGUCAGUCCGUGUGCGCGCUUUUUGGUCCCCUUAGAACAGAUUUUUCUCUCUCUCUCUCUCUUUUCUUUUCUUCUUCUUUUUCUUCUGCAAGCAUUUUUUUUAUUCUAUUUAUUUUAUUUAUUUAUUUUUAUUUUUGGAUGAAGGACCGACUUGAGCCUUGAGACUUACGACUUAAGACUUGAGACGCGCGCGUGCCUGCGCGUCUUCAUCGGGUCUGCACCGAGAGGAGACUCGUCGGAGAAUCUCUCGAGAAACCGGAGGGGACACAAAGUGCACGAGACUGGAGGCGAGACGCAGAUAUGGGUCUGUCGAGUUGUGCCAAGAGAUUAGCAUGCCUCCUCUCUCUCCUUGCCUCCUUCUUCCAUCUUCUCUGCUCCGGGGAGAAAACAUGUCCUUACAGCUGCCGUUGUGAGAGUAAAAUCGUCCAUUGUGACUCAGCAUCUUUCAUCGAUGUCCCAGAAAACAUUUCAGUAACUUGCCAGGGUUUGUCUCUGCGAAACAAUGACUUGCACACAAUGCUCCCUUACCAGUUUGCCCACCUGAACCAGCUCCUCUGGCUGUACCUGGACCACAAUCAGAUCUCGUUUGUAGACAGCCGUGCUUUCCAGGGCAUACGACGGCUAAAGGAGUUGGUCUUAAGCACCAACAGGAUCUCACAACUACACAAUGCUACGUUCCACGGCGUGCCAAAUCUGCGUAGCCUGGACCUGUCCUAUAACAAACUCCAGGAAUUGCAGCCAGGUCAGUUCCAUGGUCUUCGAAAGCUACAAAAUCUGCAUCUACGCUCCAACGGGCUCACAACAAUUCCUGUUCGGGCUUUCAUAGAGUGCAGAAGCCUGGAGUUUCUGGAUCUGGGGUACAAUCGACUUCGUGUCCUCACGCGUACUACGUUCUUGGGUUUAUCUCGGCUGAUGGAACUGCACCUGGAGCACAAUCAGUUCUCCAGGAUCAACUUCUUUCUUUUUCCACGCCUUGCAAACCUCCGUGGGCUGUAUCUCCAGUGGAAUCGUAUCCGGGCAGUUAACCAAGGCUUCCCCUGGAUGUGGUAUACCCUGCAGAAGCUGGACCUGUCUGGCAAUGAGAUCCAGAGUCUGGAUCCUGUGGUUUUCCAAUGCUUGCCAAAUCUUCAGGUUCUUAACUUGGAGUCUAACAAGCUUGCUAAUGUGUCCCAUGAGACGGUGGCAGCCUGGAUUUCCCUCUCAACAAUCAGCCUCGCUGGGAAUGUCUGGGACUGUGGGCCGGGCAUUUGUCCUCUCGUCGCAUGGUUAAAGAAUUUUCGUGGAACUAAAGACACAAGUAUCAUUUGCAGUAACCCUAAACAUCUUCAAGGGGAAAAGGUUAUGGAGGCAACAAAAAAUUAUAUCGAUUGUGAUGAUUUUGAACUCAUUGCCCAAACACCGUUUCCGCACCACACUUGGGAGUCAAGUAUGGAAACUACCCCUGAGCCAAUCUUGCCUUUGACAACUGCCGAACUACCCCUGCCUCCAGCCACCUCUGAACCACCCAUCCCACCAUUGUUGGCUCAACCUCUUCCUUAUCCUACUGUCCCUGAAACCAACCCCAGAGACACCCCUCCGAAUACGCCACCACCCUCCAACAGCCUGCUAGUGACACCGUCUCCAGAACAAGAGGACUUAUCCUUCCAUAAGAUUGUGGUUGGUGGUGUGGCACUUUUCUUUACAACAUCACUCAUCUUGAUGGUGAUAUACGUCUCCUGUAGACGGUAUCCUGGAGCCACACGGCUGUUGCAACAGCGCUCCGUGGUCGGACGGAAGCGACGGAAAAAGAGUCCCGAGCCAGAACAGAACCUGAGCUCCCAACUGCAGGAAUAUUACAUGAGCUACAACCCUGCUGCUACGCCAGAAGCCAUGGAUGUACUGGCCAAUGGGACUGGUACUUGCACAUGUACCAUAUCCGGCUCCAGGGAAUGUGAGGUAUGACAAUGUCAAGGGCAGCCUAAAAUCAAAACAAAUCAAAGCAAAUGAAACGGCUCUGGACAGCAGAGAAUGAAUACGUGUGUCCCAGACCGCUGCCUCGAGCCUGGAUCGGAGACAUUCCCACAAUUCACUAGCCGGACUCCUAUGUCCACUUUAUCAACUGCAACAGGGUUCCUGUAAAGAAUUUCCAUCGCAUCGCGUCACACUUCGGCCAUUUCCUUUCGUUCGGAUCGUAGGAGUGUAUCAGAGGAGGCGAGCGAGCUAAUUAUCGUUUCCCAGAAUCCCUUGCUGUGAAAGCAUUUUGUAUUAUAAUGCUCGAGACAGAUUUUUUUUUGCAAAUAAAACGAACAAACAAAAACACGGUUUCUUUUAAUCGCCUGCCAUUUUGUAGGAGCUUCUCCACUACGGCUUUGUGAAAUGGACUCGUGAAGGACAGUGUGGACGUGGACGUGGACCUGGACGUGGACGUGGAAGGCUUCGGUGGUGCCUUUUGUGCAUUUCGUUCUCGUCCAUCUUUAUCCGGCAGGAAUAAACAAUUUGGUAUCUAAUGCUAAACUAACGAGCAACGAGCGAGUCAGGAAUCCUUUAUCUUCUUCAUCUUCAUCAUCCGAGUAAAAAGAAGGGAUUUUAUUCACGUCGUUUUUUCCAACUCGGACCUUAUUCCAUGCUAUUUAACAACCUUGUGUAUGAGAACGAUGACGACCUUGUGGUGACCCUCGUCUCAGAUUUCUCGUCGGUUGAACAUGCAGUCCUGUUUACAACCUCAGCAUGAAAACAGAGGGUCUCGAACACUUCACACUGACUGCAAACCAACAUGUGUGUGUGUGUGUGUGUGUGUGUGUGUGUGUGUGUACAUACUUACUUAUGGGACAAAGACGUGUGCAUGACAUUCGGAUGUCAACAUCGUUGUACGAACUUUAAUGUUGGUUUCUUGGCUUCUUUACACGGUAUAACAUUUCACCCUGCGUUCACAUUAGCAAGCGACAAAGCGACAUCAUUUCCUUUAAAGUUUAUUCUAAAAUUCAUUCAUUCAUUAAAGUAUUUACUACUAUUAAAUUCAUGCAAAUUAAAUACCUCGUGAAUACCCCAGGCCUGAGUUUAGGUUUUCAACAAAAGAGCAGUGGAAGACAAAUUUAAAGGGAUAGUUCACCCAAAAAAUGAAGGUUCUGUCGUCAGUUACUCGCCCUCGCACGUCUAUGCAGAAGUGAAGAUACUUUGCGAAUAAAGGUAUUUUAAUUUUAAUUUUAGUUGGGGUUUUUUUUUUUUUUUUACACACGAAACAUUCGUAUCGCUUCAGAAAACUGGGAUUAAACCACCGGGGUCACGUGGAUUCCUUCUACGAUGCCUUUAUGAACUUUUUGGAGCUUGAAAGUUUUACAUUGAUUGUAAACAGAGGGACAGAAAACUCCCAGGUUUCAUUAAAAAAUGUGUUCGUUUGUGUUUUCCGACGAUGAACGAAAGUCUCACGGGUUUGGAACGACAUGAGGCGGAGUAACUGACGAUUUUUGGGGUGAACUAUCCCUUUAAAUAUAAUGAAUCUGUUUUAAACAAUUAAAUCAAACUGUUAAAAUAUAUUUUAAACACAUAAGUAACAGGGUUAUCAGGGUUGUCGUAAUACAUUACAAUCAUUUUGGCUUUGAUAUCAAAACUAUAAUAGGAAAAACAUUUUUAGUAUUUUUUAGUGUUUUUUUUUUUUUUCCUUAACAAAAAAUAAAUAUAUUUGGUAUCAUUUUAGUCAAAAUUUUCUACUAUUGCAACGUUACAAUGUGACAAAAUUGUUUGUAGGUUGUUUUUUUUUUCUCUCACAUAACAACAAAACUACUGUAGGAUUUUUUUUUUUUUUUUUCCUUUUUUGUUUUGUUGCAAAAACCUUCAGUGGUACUUUUUGUUGUUGUGUUUUUUAAAUAUAGUUUUAAACAACACCUGAUACCAAAACUAAACUAGGAAAUGUUUUAUAUGAAAAUAAAAGAAUUUAAAAGAAUAAUAAGAUAAAAAUGUAUGAUGUAGGUUUUUUUUUUGUCACAUGACACCAAAACUACACUAGGAUUUUUAUUAUUAUUAUUAUUUAUUUUUUUUUGUAUUCUUGUUUUUCCUUUUUUUUUUUUCUUUUUUUUUUUUAUUGUUGCUGCAAAAACUUUCAGUACGAUUUUUUUUUUUUCCUUUUUGGCCACAUUUUUAAUAUACACAAUUAACAAUAUACGAUACCAAAAAUAAACUAGGAAAAAUUUAUAUUAAAAAUAAAAUAAAAUAAAAAGUAUUGUUUAGUUUUUUUUACCUAGUGUUCACACUGAAGUAAUAUUCAAACAAAUUAAUGAAUGAAGUAAUUUAUUAAAUAAAAUCUAUCAUUUGGGGGCGGGGUGUUUGUUUUUGAUUGAUUGAUUGAUUUAUUUUGUUUGUUUAUGCUGAUCUUUUUCUCGGACCUUACACUCACAUAUACCACAUGUUCUCCUGUAACGAGCUAAACGGCUCUUUCUCGGCUCUCUUCGCCACCGGCUCUCUUUCAGUAGCAUCGAUUCAGGAUUUUACUUUCUGUCUCUGUUUCUUUGUCCGUCUUCUUUGAGUCGAAUCCGUUUUUAGUUGAAUGCAACGUCACUCAUCUUUUAUAUAUAAAAUAAUAAAAUAUCAGCCUUAGAGUUAGUCUGUUUCAAUAAAGACGUAACGGUGUUUUUUUUGUUUUGUUUUGUUGUUUUUUUUAAAGUUACACUAUUGAGAGUUUUGCCACAUUUGUGAUAGUAGCUCAAAUGAUGAAUUCUAAAAUAAAUAAAUGAUAGAUUGUAAAUGACACUGUUUACAUUUUGGCUUCAUUUAUAAUCAGAGCUUAAGACUGUAAGACUGAGCAGGAGAUUUAUUUACUACUGUGCACAUGAGUGAUGACGGCAGUGUGUCAACCUUGUCGCUUGCUUGUAGGAACUCAGGGUCGUGUGUGUGUGUGUGUGUGUGUGUGUGUGUGGAAGUGUGUGUGAAUGUCUUUUGCUUACGCUGCCAUUUUUUUACCCUCGACUCAACCUUCGCUUGUCCUUUUCCAAGUCUGUCCUUUGUCAUUUCUGUCCACGCUUGACUCCUGGUCAUUCCUUUUUGAAAUGAACUCUGAAGUUUUUUUGCCGCCAACAUGUUUCUGUUUUCUAAUGACAACGCUGUCGGAAUCAACGGUGGGAAAUAUACACUGCUCAAAAUGGAAACUGAGUAUCGAUGAGUCAUAAUGAAUUGCUACCAACAGAGUUUUAGAGAAAAGAGGGGGAAACAGUAAAGGAGGGUGGAAGUAAAUGAGUAAAAUGGAUCUUUUCUUCCCACAAAGGACUGAAAGAUCUGAUGUUAUUGGUUUAAAAAAAAAAAACCCUAAAAAGAUUCAAUUAAAAGUCGUGAAGGUCCAGUUACGUAAAAUUUCCCUGCAUCCGACACGAAUAAAUAACAACAAGCUUUUAAUUCUACACUAUUAAUGCUUCACUCAUUGCUAUAAAUUCCACGCAUUAUUUUCACUUCACAACUUUUUUUAUUUUAUUUUAUUUUCUACUAGCGCUGUGUUUUCAAACUGAAGCUGAGAAUAAACACUUACGAAACACGUCCAGUCGUCUUUAAACGCGCUUGUUUAUUUUUUGGGGGAAAGCCCUGUUGUCACGGCACUAAUCGCAGCUAGAGAAGGUAAAUAAAUCUAAGAACGUCUGUGAAAACACUUUGCAUUCUCGAGGGGAUGCCUUCAGCUAAAUAACUGACGUAAAUGCGUGUGAUUGGUCGGGACAGAGGAUCUGCUCCAGAAAAACAGGAAGCAAACAGGAAGUCCGUCAUCUUUACACAAUUCUGAAACAUUUUCUUCUUAAACAUUUAGGGGUUUUUUUGAUUCCGUAGUAACAGCUCAUUCAAGUAGAACCCUUUCAGGAGCAUAAGAACACAUAGUCCUUUAAGUAGAACCCUUUUAGGGCCAUAAGAACUUUUAGUCCUCCAAGUGAAAGCCUUUUAGAACCAUAAUAACCCUUAGUCCUCAAAUUAGCACCCUUUUAGGAGCAUAAGAACACUUAGUUCAUCAAGUAGAACCCUUUUAGUGAUGUAAGAACAUUUAGUUCUCCUAAUAGAACCCUUUUAGGAGAAUAAGAACCCUGAGCACUCCGAGUAGAACCCUUUUAGGAGCAUAAUAACCCUUAGUCCUCAAAGUAGCCCUCUUUUAGGAGCAUAAGAACCCUUAGGCCUCCAUGUAGAACCCUUUUAGGAGCAUAAGAACCCUUAGUCCUCCAAGUAGAACCCUUUUAUGAGCAUACGACCACCUAGAUCUCCAAGUAGAACCCUUUUAUGCGCAUAAGAACCCUUAGUCCUCAAAGUAGAUCCCUUUUAGGGGCAUAAGAACCCUUUGUCCUACAAGUAGAACCCUUUUAUGAGCAUACGACCACCUAGAUCUCCAAGUAGAACCCUUUUAGGAGCAUAAGAACCCUUAGGCCUCCAAGUAGAACCCUUUUAGGAGCAUAAGAACCCUUAGGCCUCCAAGUAGAACCCUUUUAGGAGCAUAAGAACACUUAGAUCAUCAAGUAGAACCCUUUUAUGAGCAGACGAACACCUAGAUCUCCAAGUAGAAUCCUUUUAGGAGCAUAAGAAUCCUUAGGCCUCCAAGUAGAACCCUUUUAGGAGCAUAAUAACCCUUAGAUCAUCAAGUAGAACCCUUUUAUGAGCAGACGAACACCUAGAUCUCCAAGUAGAACCCUUUUAGGAGCAUAAGAACCCUUAGGCCUCCAAGUAGAACCCU